GUGUGUGUUGAAGGGGGGCGGUUGGGCCCUGGGAAAGCGGAUUGGGGCCUCCCUCUUGGGAUACCCCCCCUUGAUAGUGCCCGAGGGUAAAGCCUCAGAUCUCGGCCUUCUUGGGGGAGGGGAUGCGGACAGGGCGGGCCUUUGGAAAUGCAGAUGAGUCGUCUCCUGCUGCUUGUCGCCCUGGCUGAACCUUAGUGACUCAGCCACCCCCACCCCACCCCCAUCCAUUCCAGAGUCUUGGCCGGAGACCGGAACAAUGUCUGGGUUAUCCCCACAGUAGACAGUCCUUGCUUCCUCUGGACAUCUGGAACAGGCCUAAUUUGGCUGACAGCUUUCCCACUAAGGUUGAAGGCCUUCUACCUCUGCUCUCCUGGGCUUGCUUUCCCUAUUGGCCUCUGUCUUCCUUGAGACCAUCCUGCGGCUGGCUCCCUGAGUGAAUCUUCCCCUGGCACAAGAAGCCAGCCAGCCAGCCAGCCAGCCUCUGGGGCCCAGGACAAAGCCUGAAGAAGCCUAAGAGAAGAACCCUGGAAUCCCUGCAAAGGUAUGUGGAUCCCCGCUCACUCUAAACCUCCCCCUCUUUGUGCUGUUUUUACUCCACUCUGGAGUAGCCUGCUCUUCGUUCUCUGGGCAGUCUUGGCCUCUGGCAUGCUGUCCCUCCUUUUUUUUUUUUUUUUUUUUUUGCCAUUCUCAAAGGGCCACUAAGGUAUAGACCCAGCCCUUCCUCCCUUGCCUGGUUUUGACAGGACUCAUGUCUGUUGGGUCUCUUUGUAGCCCUUCUCCCCCUUCAACCAGCAGUCGGGCCCUAGCCCGUAACCUUGACAACCACUUGGUCCUGUCUCCUCACUACUGAAAACCUGAAGAGGGUUUUCCAGCUGCGGUACAUUUGCCCAAAUUGGGCACCCCUUCUAGCUUCCAUUGGCUCUCCCUCUGCCCAACUGUACCCAAUACAACAAACCAGCUUCCCUGGUCCCUUGGCUGUAACCCAAAAUUGAUCACACUGGUGCUGGGAGCUCCACCACACAGCUUCCUCCAUGCAGCUCCUAACAGGCAGGAAUACGGUUGCUUCUCAAUAAACAAAUCGCAAAAAA
RNAcentral lists this long non-coding RNA (1088 nucleotides) under Cricetulus griseus (Chinese hamster). RNAcentral describes it as "lncRNA (ENSCGRG00015040746.1)". Lineage: Eukaryota; Metazoa; Chordata; Mammalia; Rodentia; Cricetidae. The record is from RNAcentral.